GUUGGUAGGGUAACGGCCUACCAAGGCGAUGAUGCAUAGCCGAGUUGAGAGACUGAUCGGCCACAUUUGGGACUGAGACACGGCCCAAACUCCUACGGGAGGCAGCAGUAGGGAAUCUUCCACAAUGGACGCAAGUCUGAUGGAGCAACGCCGCGUGAGUGAAGAAGGGUUUUCGGCUCGUAAAGCUCUGUUGUUGGUGAAGAAGGACAGGGGUAGUAACUGACCUUUGUUUGACGGUAAUCAAUUAGAAAGUCACGGGCUAACUACGUGCCAGCAGCCGCGGUAAAU
This 288-nucleotide ribosomal RNA is filed under the name uncultured Lactobacillus sp. RNAcentral describes it as "partial 16S ribosomal RNA". It matches the Rfam family "Bacterial small subunit ribosomal RNA", at positions 248 to 525 of the family's 1533-position model. The record is from RNAcentral. Lineage: Bacteria; Bacillati; Bacillota; Bacilli; Lactobacillales; Lactobacillaceae.